This is a long non-coding RNA of Patella vulgata (common limpet), 362 nucleotides long. RefSeq lists it as uncharacterized. NCBI's taxonomy places the organism in Eukaryota, Metazoa, Mollusca, Gastropoda, Patellidae. The transcript has 3 exons. The record is from RefSeq and is a predicted model, not a curated record.
UUUCUGUAAAAUUAGAUGGAGAAAACACAACUGAUUCGGUUUAUCUUUCUGUAAGAACAACAGCUUGUGGUUGUCAAGCAGACAUCGAAUCUGGACUUUUCUUGUUUUUCUUUCCAAGAGAGCAACGCUAUCUCCUAUCAUCGGAUUUGUUGAGAAAGAACGUACUGGCUUCGGGAAAAGUACCAACUGUCACCAAUGAUUGGGAUGUUAUUAAACUACAAGCUAAGGGAGAUCAUGUAUGGGGAGCAGUUAAUAAUAAUAUGCUGUUCAACAUAAGUAUUCCAAUAUCUAUCUCUCAUGGCUGGGUGGCUGUGGGAACAUAUCCCUUUGGAACGGCCUACUUUGAUGAUUUGCAUAUUAAU